UUGCAUCGAUGAAGAACGCAGCGAAAUGCGAUACGUAAUGUGAAUUGCAGAAUUCAGUGAAUCAUCGAAUCUUUGAACGCACCUUGCACUCUUUGGUAUUCCGAAGAGUAUGUCUGUUUGAGUGUCAUGAAACUCUCAACCCCCUCAUUUUGUAAUGAAAUGUAGCGUGGGCUUGGUUUAUGGCUGUCUGUCGGCGUAAACGCCGGCUCAGCUGAAAUAUACGAGCAACCCAGUUUAAAUACCUGACGGCUUGACUCGGCGUAAUAACUAUUUCGCUGAGGACGUCUAACCUUUAAAUCGUUAGUGGUGCUUCUAAUGCAUUAAUCAUUUUAAGCUUUAGACCUCAAAUCAGUCAGGACUACCCGCUGAACUUAAGCAUAUCAAUAAGCGGAGGAG
RNAcentral lists this ribosomal RNA (396 nucleotides) under urediniomycete sp. BC45. RNAcentral's name for it is "eukaryotic LSU rRNA". The stretch from base 1 to 127 matches the Rfam family "5.8S ribosomal RNA", at positions 28 to 154 of the family's 154-position model. Lineage: Eukaryota; Fungi; Basidiomycota. The record is from RNAcentral.